AAGGUUCGAUUCGAGCGCAGCGAGAACGCGUUGCCGCAGGCAACGACCCGAAGGGCGAAGCGCGCAGCGCUGAGUCAUCCUUCCCCCACCACCA
This 94-nucleotide small RNA is filed under the name Salmonella enterica. RNAcentral's name for it is "partial RtT sRNA". It matches the Rfam family "RtT RNA", at positions 38 to 130 of the family's 130-position model. Rfam says of the family: This family represents a bacterial cis-regulatory element known as RtT RNA. The exact function of RtT is unknown although it is thought that it may be involved in changing the cellular response in relation to amino acid starvation. RNAcentral also lists the same sequence under 2 other names. The record is from RNAcentral. Lineage: Bacteria; Pseudomonadati; Pseudomonadota; Gammaproteobacteria; Enterobacterales; Enterobacteriaceae.